AGAUGUGAGGGUGUUCUAACUAUGACAUGUAUUGAUCACCAGGGUUGAUUUUUCUGAUCUAACUGGCUAGUCAGGUGCCUCUUUCCUCCCUCACCACUCCAUGUACUUCUUCCUGAAAGCUGCACACUUGGUGGAAGAGGAUGACCAUCCCAUAAAGAAAGAGUGUAUCAAUCUUCAAUCAAGGGUAUAUAAUAGCUGCAUGAGACAGUCGCUAAAUGAGAACUAUCUGUAAUAAAAUAGAUUAAUCUAUUAUUCUUA
This 258-nucleotide small nuclear RNA is filed under the name Notechis scutatus (mainland tiger snake). RNAcentral describes it as "7SK RNA (ENSNSUG00000001805.1)". It matches the Rfam family "7SK RNA". Rfam says of the family: 7SK was discovered as an abundant small nuclear RNA in the mid-70s but a possible function has only recently been suggested. The record is from RNAcentral. Lineage: Eukaryota; Metazoa; Chordata; Lepidosauria; Squamata; Elapidae.